This 1541-nucleotide ribosomal RNA is filed under the name human gut metagenome. RNAcentral describes it as "bacterial LSU rRNA". It matches the Rfam family "Bacterial large subunit ribosomal RNA", at positions 1288 to 2925 of the family's 2925-position model. The record is from RNAcentral.
GUGAGAAUGCCGGAAUGAGUAGCGAGAAUUAUGUGAGAAUCAUAAUGGCCGAAAGUCUAAGGUUUCCUGAGGAAGGUUCGUCCUCUCAGGGUUAGCCGGGAGCUAAGGUGAGGCGGAAACGCGUAGCCGAUGCACAUACGGUAGAAAUUCCGUAGCCUCCGAAGAUUUAAGCACAGGGACACUUUUGAAGGGCUGAGCCGGGCGUUGGUUGCCCCGGUCGAAAGGGACACGAUUGAGUGGAAGUCAGUUUGGAAAGAGGCGAGAAAAGCUGUGUGUAUAUGGAAGGAGCCCGUACCGCAAACCGACACAGGUAGACAGGAAGAAGAUUCUAAGGCCAGCGGGAGAAGGGUUGUUAAGGAACUCGGCAAGUUGACCCCGUAACUUCGGGAGAAGGGGUGCUUACGAAGGUAAGCCGCAGAGAAUAGGCCCAAGCGACUGUUUAGCAAAAACACAGCUCUAUGCUAAAUCGAAAGAUGACGUAUAUGGGGUGACACCUGCCCGGUGCUGGAAGGUUAAGAGGAGAUGUGAGAGCAUUGAAUUGAAGCCCCAGUAAACGGCGGCCGUAACUAUAACGGUCCUAAGGUAGCGAAAUUCCUUGUCAGGUAAGUUCUGACCCGCACGAAUGGUGUAACGAUUUGGGCACUGUCUCAACAACCCACCCGGCGAAAUUGUAGUACCGGUGAAGAUGCCGGUUACCUGCGACUAGACGGAAAGACCCCAUGGAGCUUCACUGCAGCUUAAUAUUGGAUUUCGGUAUUUCAUGUACAGGAUAGGUGGGAGACUGGGAAAUACAGGCGUCAGCUUGUAUGGAGUCAUUGUUGGGAUACCACUCUUGAGGUGCUGGAAUUCUAACCUGUGGCCUUGAAUCAGGUCAGGGGACAUUGUUAGGCGGGCAGUUUGACUGGGGCGGUCGCCUCCUAAAAGGUAACGGAGGCGCUCAAAGGUUCGCUCAGCAUGGACGGAAACCAUGCCAAAGAGUGUAAACGCAUAAGCGAGCCUAACUGCGAGACUGACGGGUCGAGCAGUAACGAAAGUUGGAGUUAGUGAUCCGGCGGUAUGUGAGUGGAAAUGCCGUCGCUCAACGGAUAAAAGCUACCCUGGGGAUAACAGGCUGAUCUCCCCCAAGAGUCCACAUCGACGGGGAGGUUUGGCACCUCGAUGUCGGCUCAUCGCAUCCUGGGGCUGAAUUCGGUCCCAAGGGUUUGGCUGUUCGCCAAUUAAAGCGGUACGCGAGCUGGGUUCAGAACGUCGUGAGACAGUUCGGUCCCUAUCUGUCGUGGGCGUAGGAUAUUUGCAAGGAGCUGUCCCUAGUACGAGAGGACCGGGAUGGACGCACCUCUGGUGCACCAGUUGUCACGCCAGUGGCACAGCUGGGCAGCUAUGUGCGGAACGGAUAAACGCUGAAAGCAUCUAAGCGUGAAGCCGCCCUUAAGAUAAGAUCUCCUUUAAGACCCCUUGUAGACUACGAGGUUGAUAGGUCUGAUGUGUAAGCACGGUGACGUGUUUAGCUUGCAGAUACUAAUCGGUCGUUCGCUUUUCCU